AGCGUACACGGUGGAUGCCCUGGCAGUCAGAGGCGAUGAAGGGCGUGCUAAUCUGCGAUAAGCGCCGGUAAGGUGAUAUGAACCGUUAUAACCGGCGAUACCCGAAUGGGGAAACCCAGUGUGAUUCGUCACACUAUCAUUAACUGAAUCCAUAGGUUAAUGAGGCGAACCGGGGGAACUGAAACAUCUAAGUACCCCGAGGAAAAGAAAUCAACCGAGAUUCCCCCAGUAGCGGCGAGCGAACGGGGAGGAGCCCAGAGCCUGAAUCAGCAUGUGUGUUAGUGGAAGCGUCUGGAAAGGCGCGCGAUACAGGGUGACAGCCCCGUACACAAAAGCGCAUGUGCUGUGAGCUCGAUGAGUAGGGCGGGACACGUGGUAUCCUGUCUGAAUAUGGGGGGACCAUCCUCCAAGGCUAAAUACUCCUGACUGACCGAUAGUGAACCAGUACCGUGAGGGAAAGGCGAAAAGAACCCCGGCGAGGGGAGUGAAAAAGAACCUGAAACCGUGUACGUACAAGCAGUGGGAGCACCCUUUGGGGUGUGACUGCGUACCUUUUGUAUAAUGGGUCAGCGACUUAUAUUCUGUAGCAAGGUUAACCGAAUAGGGGAGCCGGAGGGAAACCGAGUCUUAAUUGGGCGUUAAGUUGCAGGGUAUAGACCCGAAACCCGGUGAUCUAGCCAUGGGCAGGUUGAAGGUUGGGUAACACUAACUGGAGGACCGAACCGACUAAUGUUGAAAAAUUAGCGGAUGACCUGUGGCUGGGGGUGAAAGGCCAAUCAAACCGGGAGAUAGCUGGUUCUCCCCGAAAGCUAUUUAGGUAGCGCCUCGUGAAUUCAUCUCCGGGGGUAGAGCACUGUUUCGGCUAGGGGGCCAUCCCGGCUUACCAACCCGAUGCAAACUGCGAAUACCGGAGAAUGUUAUCACGGGAGACACACGGCGGGUGCUAACGUCCGUCGUGAAGAGGGAAACAACCCAGACCGCCAGCUAAGGUCCCAAAGUCAUGGUUAAGUGGGAAACGAUGUGGGAAGGCCCAGACAGCCAGGAUGUUGGCUUAGAAGCAGCCAUCAUUUAAAGAAAGCGUAAUAGCUCACUGGUCGAGUCGGCCUGCGCGGAAGAUGUAACGGGGCUAAACCAUGCACCGAAGCUGCGGCAGCGACGCUGAUGCGUUGUUGGGUAGGGGAGCGUUCUGUAAGCCUGCGAAGGUGUGUCGUGAGGCAUGCUGGAGGUAUCAGAAGUGCGAAUGCUGACAUAAGUAACGAUAAAGCGGGUGAAAAGCCCGCUCGCCGGAAGACCAAGGGUUCCUGUCCAACGUUAAUCGGGGCAGGGUGAGUCGACCCCUAAGGCGAGGCCGAAAGGCGUAGUCGAUGGGAAACGGGUUAAUAUUCCCGUACUUGGUGUUACUGCGAAGGGGGGACGGAGAAGGCUAUGUUGGCCGGGCGACGGUUGUCCCGGUUUAAGCGUGUAGGUGUGUGUUCCAGGUAAAUCCGGUUCACUUUAACACUGAGGCGUGAUGACGAGGCACUACGGUGCUGAAGCAACAAAUGCCCUGCUUCCAGGAAAAGCCUCUAAGCAUCAGGUAACAUCAAAUCGUACCCCAAACCGACACAGGUGGUCAGGUAGAGAAUACCAAGGCGCUUGAGAGAACUCGGGUGAAGGAACUAGGCAAAAUGGUGCCGUAACUUCGGGAGAAGGCACGCUGACACGUAGGUGAAGUGAUUUACUCAUGGAGCUGAAGUCAGUCGAAGAUACCAGCUGGCUGCAACUGUUUAUUAAAAACACAGCACUGUGCAAACACGAAAGUGGACGUAUACGGUGUGACGCCUGCCCGGUGCCGGAAGGUUAAUUGAUGGGGUCAGCGCAAGCGAAGCUCCUGAUCGAAGCCCCGGUAAACGGCGGCCGUAACUAUAACGGUCCUAAGGUAGCGAAAUUCCUUGUCGGGUAAGUUCCGACCUGCACGAAUGGCGUAAUGAUGGCCAGGCUGUCUCCACCCGAGACUCAGUGAAAUUGAACUCGCUGUGAAGAUGCAGUGUACCCGCGGCAAGACGGAAAGACCCCGUGAACCUUUACUAUAGCUUGACACUGAACAUUGAGCCUUGAUGUGUAGGAUAGGUGGGAGGCUUUGAAGUGUGGACGCCAGUCUGCAUGGAGCCGGCCUUGAAAUACCACCCUUUAAUGUUUGAUGUUCUAACGUGGACCCGUGAUCCGGGUUGCGGACAGUGUCUGGUGGGUAGUUUGACUGGGGCGGUCUCCUCCUAAAGAGUAACGGAGGAGCACGAAGGUUGGCUAAUCCUGGUCGGACAUCAGGAGGUUAGUGCAAUGGCAUAAGCCAGCUUGACUGCGAGCGUGACGGCGCGAGCAGGUGCGAAAGCAGGUCAUAGUGAUCCGGUGGUUCUGAAUGGAAGGGCCAUCGCUCAACGGAUAAAAGGUACUCCGGGGAUAACAGGCUGAUACCGCCCAAGAGUUCAUAUCGACGGCGGUGUUUGGCACCUCGAUGUCGGCUCAUCACAUCCUGGGGCUGAAGUAGGUCCCAAGGGUAUGGCUGUUCGCCAUUUAAAGUGGUACGCGAGCUGGGUUUAGAACGUCGUGAGACAGUUCGGUCCCUAUCUGCCGUGGGCGCUGGAGAACUGAGGGGGGCUGCUCCUAGUACGAGAGGACCGGAGUGGACGCAUCACUGGUGUUCGGGUUGUCAUGCCAAUGGCACUGCCCGGUAGCUAAAUGCGGAAGAGAUAAGUGCUGAAAGCAUCUAAGCACGAAACUUGCCCCGAGAUGAGUUCU
This 2775-nucleotide ribosomal RNA is filed under the name Salmonella enterica subsp. enterica serovar Johannesburg. RNAcentral describes it as "bacterial LSU rRNA". It matches the Rfam family "Bacterial large subunit ribosomal RNA". The record is from RNAcentral. Lineage: Bacteria; Pseudomonadati; Pseudomonadota; Gammaproteobacteria; Enterobacterales; Enterobacteriaceae.